This 450-nucleotide ribosomal RNA is filed under the name uncultured bacterium. RNAcentral describes it as "partial 16S ribosomal RNA". It matches the Rfam family "Bacterial small subunit ribosomal RNA", at positions 354 to 796 of the family's 1533-position model. The record is from RNAcentral.
GUGGGGAAUAUUGGACAAUGGGCGAAAGCCUGAUCCAGCCAUGCCGCGUGUGUGAAGAAGGUCUUCGGAUUGUAAAGCACUUUAAGUUGGGAGGAAGGGCAGUAAGUUAAUACCUUGCUGUUUUGACGUUACCAACAGAAUAAGCACCGGCUAACUUCGUGCCAGCAGCCGCGGUAAUACGAAGGGUGCAAGCGUUAAUCGGAAUUACUGGGUGUAAAGCGCGCGUAGGUGGUUCAGCAAGUUGAAGGUGAAAUCCCCGGGCUCAACCUGGGAACUGCCUCCAAAACUACUGAGCUAGAGUACGGUAGAGGGUAGUGGAAUUUCCUGUGUAGCGGUGAAAUGCGUAGAUAUAGGAAGGAACACCAGUGGCGAAGGCGACUACCUGGACUGAUACUGACACUGAGGUGCGAAAGCGUGGGGAGCAAACAGGAUUAGAAACCCCGGUAGUCC